GACGGAGGGGGCAAGCGUUGUUCGGAAUCACUGGGCGUAAAGCGCGCGUAGGCGGUUUGAUAAGUCGAAUGUGAAAGCCCGAGGCUCAACCUCGGAAGUGCAUUCGAAACUGUCAGGCUUGAGUACGGGAGAGGGAAGUUGAAUUCCUGGUGUAGAGGUGAAAUUCGUAGAUAUCAGGAGGAACACCGGUGGCGAAGGCGGCUUCCUGGACCGAUACUGACGCUGAGACGCGAAAGCGUGGGGAGCAAACAGG
RNAcentral lists this ribosomal RNA (253 nucleotides) under uncultured bacterium. RNAcentral describes it as "partial 16S ribosomal RNA". It matches the Rfam family "Bacterial small subunit ribosomal RNA", at positions 524 to 776 of the family's 1533-position model. The record is from RNAcentral.